RNAcentral lists this ribosomal RNA (497 nucleotides) under uncultured bacterium. RNAcentral describes it as "partial 16S ribosomal RNA". It matches the Rfam family "Bacterial small subunit ribosomal RNA", at positions 28 to 507 of the family's 1533-position model. The record is from RNAcentral.
GAUGAACGCUGGCGGCGUGCCUAAUACAUGCAAGUCGAGCGAACAGACGAGGAGCUUGCUCCUCUGACGUUAGCGGCGGACGGGUGAGUAACACGUGGAUAACCUACCUAUAAGACUGGGAUAACUUCGGGAAACCGGAGCUAAUACCGGAUAAUAUAUUGAACCGCAUGGUUCAAUAGUGAAAGACGGUUUUGCUGUCACUUAUAGCUGGAUCCGCGCCGCAUUAGCUAGUUGGUAAGGUAACGGCUUACCAAGGCAACGAUGCGUAGCCGACCUGAGAGGGUGAUAGGCCACACUGGAACUGAGACACGGUCCAGACUACUACGGGAGGCAGCAGUAGGGAAUCUUCCGCAAUGGGCGAAAGCCUGACGGAGCAACGCCGCGUGAGUGAUGAAGGUCUUCGGAUCGUAAAACUCUGUUAUUAGGGAAGAACAAAUGUGUAAGUAACUAUGCACGUCUUGACGGUACCUAAUCAGAAAGCCACGGCUAACUACGUG